RNAcentral lists this ribosomal RNA (774 nucleotides) under uncultured Neocallimastigales. RNAcentral describes it as "partial large subunit ribosomal RNA". It matches the Rfam family "Eukaryotic large subunit ribosomal RNA", at positions 20 to 616 of the family's 3401-position model. The record is from RNAcentral. Lineage: Eukaryota; Fungi; Neocallimastigomycota; Neocallimastigomycetes; Neocallimastigales.
UACUAGAGUAGCACUCGCAUAUCAAUAAGCGGAGGAAAAGAAACUAACAAGGAUUCCCCUAGUAACGGCGAGUGAAGCGGGAAGAGCUCAAAUUUGAAAUCUUAAAGGGUUUCCCUUUACGAAUUGUAGUUUAAAGAAGUGUUUUCUGUUGAGGUUUUGGUAAAAGUUCUUUGGAAUAGGACAUCAUAGAGGGUGAGAAUCCCGUAUUUGACCUUUACUUUCAACUUUGUGAUACACUUUCAAAGAGUCGGAUUGUUUGGGAAUGCAGUCCAAAAUGGGUGGUAAAUUUCAUCUAAAGCUAAAUAUUGGCGAGAGACCGAUAGCGAACAAGUACCGUGAGGGAAAGAUGAAAAGAACUUUGAAAAGAGAGUUAAACAGUACGUGAAAUUGUCAAAAGGGAAGCGUUUGACACCAGUGUUGUUUUUCUGAAAAUCAAUUAAAGAACUGUUUAUGCUAAGCUGUUUAGACUUUAUCAGCUAUCUGUUUAGUUUUAGGCUUUUCUUUAAUGCACUUUUCAGUUAACAAGUCAACAGCAAUUUCUUUUGCUGUAAAAAAGCUUGAGGAAGGUGGCUUGAGAUUCGUCUUAAGUGUUUAUAGCCUCUUGCCUAUGCAGUCGGAGAGAUUGAGGUCUGCAGCGUAGAUCCUUCGGGGCUAAAUGCAUUUGUGCUAAGUUAUAGCAUUUUAUAGACAACUUGUUGACUAUGAUUUGUCUUGUAGCUUACUCGCUUAUGUUAUUUUACCUACGCUUAGGAUGUUGAGCGCAUGUCUCUCUCU